UUCUCCUGUUCUCUCUCUUUCAGGUGGAUUCGUUAGCCAGGCUGCAGUCAGUCUCAGCCUCUGGGUGGAGCAUUCUUACCUGGCCUGCCCCACACACCUCUCGGCCACCACCCUGCACAUCACAUAUUUAUUCACGGCGACCCUCUCGAUGGCCUUUGAGUGGGCAGGAUGGAUGCGGUGGAGCUCACUGAAAGCACCGCUGGCUCUGAGCUACAGGUACCUUGGUGUUCAUCUGGACAAUAAACUGGACUGGACUCAUAAUUCAGAUGCUCUCUACAGAAAAGGGCAGAGCAGGCUGUUUUGCUCUUUUGGAGUGAAGGACUGACUCCUGAAGACCUUCUAUGACUCUGUGGUGGCCUCAGCCAU
Molecule: long non-coding RNA, 366 nt
Organism: Astatotilapia calliptera (eastern happy)
Lineage: Eukaryota; Metazoa; Chordata; Actinopteri; Cichliformes; Cichlidae
Source: Ensembl